UGAGGAAUAUUGGUCAAUGGGUGCAAGCCUGAACCAGCCAUCCCGCGUGAAGGACGACUGCCCUAUGGGUUGUAAACUUCUUUUGUAUAGGGAUAAACCUACCCUCGUGAGGGUAGCUGAAGGUACUAUACGAAUAAGCACCGGCUAACUCCGUGCCAGCAGCCGCGGUAAUACGGAGGGUGCAAGCGUUAUCCGGAUUUAUUGGGUUUAAAGGGUCCGUAGGCGGACUUAUAAGUCAGUGGUGAAAGCCUGUCGCUUAACGAUAGAACUGCCAUUGAUACUGUAAGUCUUGAGUAUAUUUGAGGUAGCUGGAAUAAGUAGUGUAGCGGUGAAAUGCAUAGAUAUUACUUAGAACACCAAUUGCGAAGGCAGGUUACCAAGAUAUAACUGACGCUGAGGGACGAAAGCGUGGGGAGCGAACA
Molecule: ribosomal RNA, 422 nt
Filed under: Pseudomonas sp.
Lineage: Bacteria; Pseudomonadati; Pseudomonadota; Gammaproteobacteria; Pseudomonadales; Pseudomonadaceae
Also listed under: 5 other names
Description: partial 16S ribosomal RNA
Rfam family: Bacterial small subunit ribosomal RNA
Source: RNAcentral